AAUUAAGAGUCGUGUGUGUGUGUGUGUGUGUGUGUGUGUGUGUUUCAGCAUGCAGAUGCUCUAUCCUCUAUGCGUCUGGAGCUGCAGCGUGCUCACACUGAGGAGAUCAGGCGCCUUCAGCAGGAGGUGGAGAACGAAAGAAAGAAUGACAGACAGGAGCUGGAAGAAGAGAAGAAACAGGUGCAGCAGAAGAUGGAAGAAGAGAAAGUGAUGCUGAAAGAACAGCUUCGGAAAGCACUGGAAGAAGUGAUACGCAAACACGCCAGUGAGCUACGGCAUGCACACGCAAUGCUGGACGCAGAGAAGAAGACGACGCAACAGGUUGAGGAGCAGAUGAAAACCAGAGAAGAAGAGAGAAAGGCUUUAGAGACAGAGAGGGAAGAGCUACGCAACCAACUACAGCUGUCCAACAGAGAGAUGGCGAAAUUGGAGGAGGUUAUUGAGACGCUGGAGAGAGAACGAGACGAGGAGAAGGAAAGGGCAAAAGAGAGAGAGCAGGAGUGCGCAGAGGUGAAGCGGCAGACAGCAUGUGGCCCGGAGUGUGUUCGAGUGAGAGAAGAACUGGAAAACACACACAGCAGCAUGCAGCAAAUACAGGAGGAGUUUGCUGCAAAGAAGGAAGUGUUACAGGCAGAGAUUUCUGCUCUACAGCGAGAGAGAGACAUUCUACAACAGUCCAAUCACAGUGUAGAGGAGAGGAUCAGGCUACAGUUUGAGAAGCAGUUCUCUGAUCAGAUCAUGGAACUGAAGAGAGAAAGAGAAGAAGAGAUCAGAAAGAUGAACCAACAGUGGCAACACAGAGUAGAAGAACUGCAGACACAGGUAACACACACACACACACACUGUCAGUCUCCUCAGACCCAUCAUACACACACGUCACUCUAGCAGCGGUAUUCUUCGGUCUCUGUGUGUAGUUGGAGGAGAGGAGAGCACUCUCAGAGAAGAUGGAAGGAGAGAGACGUUAUGGUAAUGGAGAGAUAAAGCAAAUGAAGCAGGAGAUCCAGAAGACGAGAGAUACGAACAGCUCGCUCAGAUCUCAGCUUCACUCCACCAUUCAGGAGAAAGAGAGACUGAUGAGGCAGCAGCUACAGGUGCGUAUACACUCGGAGACGGAUAGAGUUCUUAUGAUUAAUAUAAUUACAUUGCUU
This 1148-nucleotide long non-coding RNA is filed under the name Sinocyclocheilus grahami. RNAcentral's name for it is "lncRNA (ENSSGRG00000016587.1)". Lineage: Eukaryota; Metazoa; Chordata; Actinopteri; Cypriniformes; Cyprinidae. The record is from RNAcentral.